UACCCAUGUUAGUCCAUGUUAGGCCUCCCUAUCUACCCCAACUUCCUUGUUUGGUUGGCAUGUUAGCUAUCUACCUGACCCGGAUCUUCCAUCCCACGACCCGACUGAAACGUAGACACGGGAAACCAAAAUGCAGAUAACUCAAUCUCUAGUUUAACCUGCGAUAGGGAGGAAGAAAGGAGCUUGAAGCUUUGGCAUUUCACCCAAUUGACUUCCAUACCCCUGACCUUUAUUCUCCAUUCACUCCAUGGAUCGGCAAAAUUGCAGCACAAUCAACUAGCACUUGCUGUAUCGCGACGCGUUCAUCUACAAAAUUGGUUUGGGUCGAACAUCGUGGUUGCCGUUGGUGGUCGUCUGAAUUAUAAUUUCAUAAUGGGCUUAACCAAUUUCUAUGUAUAAAUGAUUUAGUCGCUACUCGGAGACUCCGCCGAAUCGAAUUUCGUGAUUCAUUCGUCAACGGGAUGGAGACUGUUGGAACUCAUGUUGCGAAUUCGGAAUUGAAGUCCAGUCAUCGUGAUCACGUUUCGCAUCUUUCUCUUGAUAUAGGAGGUUCUCUAAUAAAGAUGGUUUACUUCUCAAGUGGCAGUAGCUCCUCCUCCUCUGAUGAUGAUGAUGAGAAACACAGCUAUUUAAAGGAGGGAAUCUCACUUUGAAUGAAAUGAACUCAGUAUAGCCAAACUUUUCUGGGAUUGUUGUGGUAGAUUGUUGAAGGUAAUCGACAUUUCCCUCAGCUUAAUUUGUAUAACUAACUGUAUGAAUCUAUCAUCCAGGAUUCAUAAUUGUAUUUGCGUAUUCAUUCUUUGAUGAAUGGAAGUUCAGUUCUUGGUUUGA
Long non-coding RNA from Salvia splendens (bonfire salvia), 831 nucleotides. RefSeq lists it as uncharacterized. The record is from RefSeq and is a predicted model, not a curated record. NCBI's taxonomy places the organism in Eukaryota, Viridiplantae, Streptophyta, Magnoliopsida, Lamiales, Lamiaceae. The transcript is spliced from 2 exons.